RNAcentral lists this ribosomal RNA (114 nucleotides) under Lwoffella lincolnii. The record is from RNAcentral. Lineage: Bacteria; Pseudomonadati; Pseudomonadota; Gammaproteobacteria; Moraxellales; Moraxellaceae.
GCUGACGACAAUGGCAAGAUGGUACCACCUGAUCCCUUCUCGAACUCAGUAGUGAAACGUCUUAGCGCCGAUGGUAGUGUGGUUUAACCAUGUGAGAGUAGGUCAUCGUCAGCU